Oncorhynchus tshawytscha (Chinook salmon) is the source of this 3409-nucleotide long non-coding RNA. The record is from Ensembl. Lineage: Eukaryota; Metazoa; Chordata; Actinopteri; Salmoniformes; Salmonidae.
UUAUUGCACACAGAGUCCAUGCAACUUCUUAUGUGACUUGUUAAGCACUAUUAUUGCACACAGAGUCCAUGCAACUUCUUAUGUGACUUGUUAAGCACUAUCAUUGCACACAGAGUCCAUGCAACUUCUUAUGUGACUUGUUAAGCACUAUUAUUGCACACAGAGUGAGUCCUUUCAACUUCUUAUGUGACUUGUUAAGCACUAUUAUUGCACUCAGAGUGAGUCCUUUCAACUUCUCAUGUAACUUGUUAAGUGUAAUCCAUUUUAAAUUCAAAAUGUGGCCAAAGUCAAGGGGUAUGAAUACUUUCUGAAAACAGAAUUUGUAUGCAAAUCUCAGUCUUGAAAUCUAGAUGGUUGGGAUAGAGUCUUUUAAAAAUAGAUGCUGGUGGUUGGUGGUUUUUUCUAUAAGCAUCUACCUAAACGUGUGUGUGCAUGCGUGCGUGUGUGUGUGUGUGUGUGUGUGUGUGCGUGCGUGCGUGUGUGUGUGUUGCUGUGUGGUUAGGUGUGGAGAGGAUGUUGGAAGUGAUCUGAUGUUUUCCUGCUGAUCGCUGUGUUUUUUUUGUCUCCAGUGAAGAAUGGCAGACAGGAAGCGCUCCUCCCUGGGAGCUGAUGUCACUUCCUGUCCAGUGCUGGCCCGUUGUGUGGGUGCCUGACAGAGGUGACAUGGCCCUGCCCUGACAGAUGUGCAGGUCGCACAGUUCACACGUUUCAUCUGAUUUAUAAACACCAAAGGCUUUCUUUGUGUUAAAGCUUGUAAAAUGCAUAGAAAUGAUGAGGAAAUUACAACUUAGUUUGGGUCUCUACUCAGUGGGACUGAUGUGAGACUUAUUCAAAUUCUAGCUCAGAUUGACAUCCAUCGGGAGUUCUGGGGCUACCAGUAGAGAAGCUGUGCUACAGAGAUGGAUGAAGUGAAUGUAUGUCAGAGAGGGAGCUGGUUUCAAGUCACUCUGCUUCAAGUUCACAUUCUGCCAAGAGGGUGUCAUAUUUUAACUCUAAUUUCUAUUGGCUCAGAAAAGUAAAAAUGUCAGACUAGAAAAUCUAAUGAGGUAUCCCAUAUUUUUCUAUGUAGGCCACUACCUCAUUUGUCUUGAAUAAUAGCUGGCUACACACACACUCACAUUAACACACACACACACACACACACACACACACACACACACACACACACACACACACACACACACACACACACCUGGGUUCUCACUAAUCUCAUUAGCUCUCAUCAGCGGGCUGAGAUCACAGAGCUAGGCGCCUCACUGACUGCUGUGUUCACAACAACAACCGCAUCACAUUAGCCAUCAUCCCUACUCCUACACCCCUGUCUGUACCACUUCCCAAAAUACUCCUACCUACCUGGCAUCACAUCACACACACACACACACACACACACACACACACACACACACACACACACACACACACACACACACACACACACACACACACACACACACACACACACACACACACACACACACACAGACACACACACACACACACACACACACACACAAACACACUAGACUGCUAGAAUGUAUCCCUCAUGACAUUCAUAUAAACAUUAUGGUUGAUAUUUUCCUGAUAUUUUGCCCGAGAAUAAAUCACCUUUCUCCUGGGUACCCCGGUAUUGAAAAGCAUCAUAAAGCAUCAUAAAGCAUCAUUUGAUUAGACUUAGAUUGAUUUGAUUAGAGCUUUGAUCAGCAUUAAUGGGGCGGCAGGUAGCCUAGUGGUUAGAGUGUAGGGGCGGCAGGGAGCCUAGUGGUUGGAGUGUGGGGGGCGGCAGGUAGCCUAGUGGUUAGAGUGUAGGGGCGGCAGGUAGCCUAGUGGUUAGAGUGUAGGGGCGGCAGGUAGCCUAGUGGUUAGAGUGUAGAGGCGGCAGGUAGCCUAGUGGUUAGAGUGUAGGGGCGGCAGGUAGCCUAGUGGUUAGAGUGUAGGGGCGGCAGGUAGCCUAGUGGUUAGAGUGUAGGAGCGGCAGGUAGCCUAGUGGUUAGUGUGUAUGGGCGGCAGGUAGCCUAGUGGUUAGAGUGUAGUGGCGGCAGGUAGCCUAGUGGUUAGAGUGUAUGGGCGGCAGGUAGCCUAGUGGUUAGAGUGUAGUGGCGGCAGGUAGCCUAGUGGUUAGAGUGUAUGGGCGGCAGGUAGCCUAGUGGUUAGAGUGUAGGGGCGGCAGGUAGCCUAGUGGUUAGAGUGUAGGAGCGGCAGGUAGCCUAGUGGUUAGUGUGUAUGGGCGGCAGGUAGCCUAGUGGUUAGAGUGUAGUGGCGGCAGGUAGCCUAGUGGUUAGAUUGUAUGGGCGGCAGGUAGCCUAGUGGUUAGAGUGUAGGGGCGGCAGGUAGCCUAGUGGUUAGAGUGUAGGGGCGGCAGGUAGCCUAGUGGUUAGAGUGUGGGGGGGCAGGUAGCCUAGUGGUUAGAGUGUAGGGGCGGUAGGUAGCCUAGUGGUUAGAGUGUAUGGGCGGCAGGUAGCCUAGUGGUUAGAGUGUAGAGGCGGCAGGUAGCCUAGUGGUUCGAGCGCUGCGCCAGUAACUGAAAUGUUGCUGGAUUAAACAAGUUCUGCCCCUGAACAAGGCAGUUAAUCCACUGUUUCCUGUUAGGCCGUCAUUGUAAAUAAGAAUUUGUUCUUAACUGACUUGCCUAGUUCAAUAAAGGUUAAAUAAAAUUAAAUAAAAGUCAAUCCUGAGCCAUAUAUUAAAUACAUUUAAUGAGCCCAGGCCCAAAAAUCCUUUUAACAAAUACAUAUAUGAUGUAGGCUACUGCACAACAGAAAAACAGAAAAGCCCAUAGAUGUAGUUUACCAUAUGCUCUCUUGGGUAAAUAAAUAAACCUAGCUCCAGUAGGCUAAUCUUUUUUUAGUGUGAACUGUAUUACUGUACUGUAUUAUACUGUAUUAUAUGGACUGGAAUUAUGGACUGGAAUUAUGGACUGGAAUUAUGGACUGGAAUUAUGCACUGGAAUUAUGGACUGGAAUUAUGCACUGGAAUUAUGGACUGGAAUUAUGCACUGGAAUUAUGGACUGGAAUUGUGGACUGGAAUUAUGGACUGGAAUUAUGGACUGGAAUUAUGCACUGGAAUUAUGCACUGGAAUUAUGCACUGGAAUUAUGGACUGGAAUUAUGCAUUGGAAUUAUGGACUGGAAUUAUGCACUGGAAUUAUGGACUGGAAUUAUGCACUGGAAUUAUGUACUGGAAUUAUGGACUGGAAUUAUGCACUGGAAUUAUGCACUGGAAUUAUGCACAUAGUUAAAACCAUGAUAAACCAGGGAGACAUAAGAUUCUGGUGCAUAUGUCGUACAGGUGCAUAUGUCGUACAGGUGCAUAUGUCGUACAGGUGCAUAUGUCGUACAGGUGCAUAUGUCCUACAGGUGCAUAUGUCCUACAGGUGCAUAUGUCCUACAGGUGCAUAUGUCCUACAGGUGCA